CCCGCUGAACUUAAGCAUAUCAAUAAGCGGAGGAAAAGAAACCAACAGGGAUUACCCUAGUAACGGCGAGUGAAGCGGUAACAGCUCAAAUUUGAAAUCUGGCCUUCACAGGUCCGAGUUGUAAUUUGUAGAGGAUAUUUCGGAUAAGGCUUUGGUUUAAGUUUCUUGGAACAGAACGUCAUAGAGGGUGAGAGUCCCGUCUAGAACCGAUGGCUGCAUCCAUGUGAAAUUCCUUCGACGAGUCGAGUUGUUUGGGAAUGCAGCUCAAAAUGGGUGGUAAAUUUCAUCUAAAGCUAAAUAUUGGCCAGAGACCGAUAGCGCACAAGUAGAGUGAUCGAAAGAUGAAAAGCACUUUGAAAAGAGAGUUAAACAGUAUGUGAAAUUGUUGAAAGGGAAGCGCUUGCAACCAGACUUGUGUUUAACGGUUCCCUCGAUCUUCUGAUCGAGAUAUUCCGUUAUAUCCAGCCCAGCAUCGGUUCAGGUGGUCGGUAAAAGGCUCUGGGAAUGUAUCUACCUUCGGGUCGACUUAUAGCUCAGGGUGUAAUGCGUCCUACCUGGACCGAGGAACGCGCUUUUGCUCGGAUGCUGGCGUAAUGGUUGUAAGCGGCCCGUCUUGAAACACGG
RNAcentral lists this ribosomal RNA (624 nucleotides) under uncultured fungus. RNAcentral describes it as "eukaryotic LSU rRNA". It matches the Rfam family "Eukaryotic large subunit ribosomal RNA", at positions 24 to 664 of the family's 3401-position model. The record is from RNAcentral. Lineage: Eukaryota; Fungi.